This 252-nucleotide ribosomal RNA is filed under the name uncultured bacterium. Its description in RNAcentral is "partial 16S ribosomal RNA". It matches the Rfam family "Bacterial small subunit ribosomal RNA", at positions 524 to 776 of the family's 1533-position model. The record is from RNAcentral.
UACGGAGGAUGCGAGCGUUAUCCGGAUUUAUUGGGUUUAAAGGGUGCGUAGGCGGAGUGCCAAGUCAGCGGUAAAAAUUCGGGGCUCAACCCCGUCGUGCCGUUGAAACUGGCGCCCUUGAGUGGGCGAGAAGUAUGCGGAAUGCGUGGUGUAGCGGUGAAAUGCAUAGAUAUCACGCAGAACCCCGAUUGCGAAGGCAGCAUACCGGCGCCCGACUGACGCUGAAGCACGAAAGCGUGGGGAGCAAACAGG